RNAcentral lists this ribosomal RNA (467 nucleotides) under uncultured bacterium. RNAcentral describes it as "partial 16S ribosomal RNA". It matches the Rfam family "Bacterial small subunit ribosomal RNA", at positions 28 to 507 of the family's 1533-position model. The record is from RNAcentral.
GACGAACGCUGGCGGUGUGCUUAACACAUGCAAGUCGAACGGAAAGGCCUCUUUCGGGGGGUACUCGAGUGGCGAACGGGUGAGUAGCACGUGAGUAACCUGCCCUUGACUUUGGGAUAACUUCAGGAAACUGGGGCUAAUACCGGAUAGGAGCUCCUGCUGCAUGGUGGGGGUUGGAAAGUUUCGGCGGUUGGGGAUGGACUCGCGGCUUAUCAGCUUGUUGGUGGGGUAGUGGCUUACCAAGGCUUUGACGGGUAGCCGGCCUGAGAGGGUGACCGGCCACAUUGGGACUGAGAUACGGCCCAGACUCCUACGGGAGGCAGCAGUGGGGAAUAUUGCACAAUGGGUGGAAGCCUGAUGCAGCAACGCCGUGGGCGGGAUGACGGCCUUCGGGUUGUAAACCGCUUUCGCUCAUGACGAAGCUUUGUGUGACGGUAGUGGGUAAAGAAGCACCGGCUAACUACGUG